AGGACGAACGCUGGCGGCGUGCUUAACACAUGCAAGUCGAGCGGAAAGGCCUUUCGGGGUACUCGAGCGGCGAACGGGUGAGUAACACGUGAGUAAUCUGCCCAUCGCUUCAGGAUAGCCAUCGGAAACGGUGAUUAAUACUGGAUAUGACAUUCCUUCGCAUGUUGGGGUGUGGUAAAGUUUUUUCGGCGGUGGAUGUGCUCGCGGCCUAUCAGCUUGUUGGUGGGUAAUGGCCUACCGAAGGCUUUGACGGGUAGCCGGCCUGGAGAGGGUCGACCGGCCACACGUGGGACUGGAGACCGACGCCAGACGUCCGUAGGGACGGCAGCGAGG
Molecule: ribosomal RNA, 333 nt
Filed under: uncultured soil bacterium
Lineage: Bacteria
Description: bacterial SSU rRNA
Rfam family: Bacterial small subunit ribosomal RNA
Source: RNAcentral